RNAcentral lists this unclassified non-coding RNA (163 nucleotides) under uncultured Ascomycota. RNAcentral describes it as "sequence contains ITS2". The record is from RNAcentral. Lineage: Eukaryota; Fungi; Ascomycota.
CAACCCUCAAGCUCUGCUUGGUGUUGGGGCUCCCGGGGGUCGCCUAGCGCGCCCGGGUCCCCGAAAAACAGUGGCGGUCCCGCCAGGGCUCCGAGCGCAGUAAUUAACCUCGCUCGCGGCGCCCCGGCGCGGCACCUGCCGUAAAACCCCCAUCUUUUAAGAA